AUUCUGUAGCAAGGUUAACCGAAUAGGGGAGCCGAAGGGAAACCGAGUCUUAACCGGGCGUUAAGUUGCAGGGUAUAGACCCGAAACCCGGUGAUCUAGCCAUGGGCAGGUUGAAGGUUGGGUAACACUAACUGGAGGACCGAACCGACUAAUGUUGAAAAAUUAGCGGAUGACUUGUGGCUGGGGGUGAAAGGCCAAUCAAACCGGGAGAUAGCUGGUUCUCCCCGAAAGCUAUUUAGGUAGCGCCUCGUGAAUUCAUCUCCGGGGGUAGAGCACUGUUUCGGCAAGGGGGUCAUCCCGACUUACCAACCCGAUGCAAACUGCGAAUACCGGAGAAUGUUAUCACGGGAGACACACGGCGGGUGCUAACGUCCGUCGUGAAGAGGGAAACAACCCAGACCGCCAGCUAAGGUCCCAAAGUCAUGGUUAAGUGGGAAACGAUGUGGGAAGGCCCAGACAGCCAGGAUGUUGGCUUAGAAGCAGCCAUCAUUUAAAGAAAGCGUAAUAGCUCACUGGUCGAGUCGGCCUGCGCGGAAGAUGUAACGGGGCUAAACCAUGCACCGAAGCUGCGGCAGCGACACUGUGUGUUGUUGGGUAGGGGAGCGUUCUGUAAGCCUGUGAAGGUGUGCUGUGAGGCAUGCUGGAGGUAUCAGAAGUGCGAAUGCUGACAUAAGUAACGAUAAAGCGGGUGAAAAGCCCGCUCGCCGGAAGACCAAGGGUUCCUGUCCAACGUUAAUCGGGGCAGGGUGAGUCGACCCCUAAGGCGAGGCCGAAAGGCGUAGUCGAUGGGAAACAGGUUAAUAUUCCUGUACUUGGUGUUACUGCGAAGGGGGGACGGAGAAGGCUAUGUUGGCCGGGCGACGGUUGUCCCGGUUUAAGCGUGUAGGCUGGUUUUCCAGGCAAAUCCGGAAAAUCAAGGCUGAGGCGUGAUGACGAGGCACUACGGUGCUGAAGCAACAAAUGCCCUGCUUCCAGGAAAAGCCUCUAAGCAUCAGGUAACAUCAAAUCGUACCCCAAACCGACACAGGUGGUCAGGUAGAGAAUACCAAGGCGCUUGAGAGAACUCGGGUGAAGGAACUAGGCAAAAUGGUGCCGUAACUUCGGGAGAAGGCACGCUGAUAUGUAGGUGAAGUCCCUCGCGGAUGGAGCUGAAAUCAGUCGAAGAUACCAGCUGGCUGCAACUGUUUAUUAAAAACACAGCACUGUGCAAACACGAAAGUGGACGUAUACGGUGUGACGCCUGCCCGGUGCCGGAAGGUUAAUUGAUGGGGUCAGCGCAAGCGAAGCUCUUGAUCGAAGCCCCGGUAAACGGCGGCCGUAACUAUAACGGUCCUAAGGUAGCGAAAUUCCUUGUCGGGUAAGUUCCGACCUGCACGAAUGGCGUAAUGAUGGCCAGGCUGUCUCCACCCGAGACUCAGUGAAAUUGAACUCGCUGUGAAGAUGCAGUGUACCCGCGGCAAGACGGAAAGACCCCGUGAACCUUUACUAUAGCUUGACACUGAACAUUGAGCCUUGAUGUGUAGGAUAGGUGGGAGGCUUUGAAGUGUGGACGCCAGUCUGCAUGGAGCCGACCUUGAAAUACCACCCUUUAAUGUUUGAUGUUCUAACGUGGACCCGUGAUCCGGGUUGCGGACAGUGUCUGGUGGGUAGUUUGACUGGGGCGGUCUCCUCCUAAAGAGUAACGGAGGAGCACGAAGGUUGGCUAAUCCUGGUCGGACAUCAGGAGGUUAGUGCAAUGGCAUAAGCCAGCUUGACUGCGAGCGUGACGGCGCGAGCAGGUGCGAAAGCAGGUCAUAGUGAUCCGGUGGUUCUGAAUGGAAGGGCCAUCGCUCAACGGAUAAAAGGUACUCCGGGGAUAACAGGCUGAUACCGCCCAAGAGUUCAUAUCGACGGCGGUGUUUGGCACCUCGAUGUCGGCUCAUCACAUCCUGGGGCUGAAGUAGGUCCCAAGGGUAUGGCUGUUCGCCAUUUAAAGUGGUACGCGAGCUGGGUUUAGAACGUCGUGAGACAGUUCGGUCCCUAUCUGCCGUGGGCGCUGGAGAACUGAGGGGGGCUGCUCCUAGUACGAGAGGACCGGAGUGGACGCAUCACUGGUGUUCGGGUUGUCAUGCCAAUGGCACUGCCCGGUAGCUAAAUGCGGAAGAGAUAAGUGCUGAAAGCAUCUAAGCACGAAACUUGCCCCGAGAUGAGUUCUCCCUGACCCUUUAAGGGUCCUGAAGGAACGUUGAAGACGACGACGUUGAUAGGCCGGGUGUGUAAGCGCAGCGAUGCGUUGAGCUAACCGGUACUAAUGAACCGUGAGGCUUAACCUUACAACGCCGAAGGUGUUU
This 2330-nucleotide ribosomal RNA is filed under the name Escherichia coli. RNAcentral describes it as "partial 23S ribosomal RNA". It matches the Rfam family "Bacterial large subunit ribosomal RNA", at positions 632 to 2925 of the family's 2925-position model. Lineage: Bacteria; Pseudomonadati; Pseudomonadota; Gammaproteobacteria; Enterobacterales; Enterobacteriaceae. The record is from RNAcentral.